GACGAACGCUGGCUGCGUGCUUAACACAUGCAAGUCGAACGCUGAAGCCGACAGCUUGCUGUUGGUGGAUGAGUGGCGAACGGGUGAGUAACACGUGAGUAACCUGCCCCUGAUUUCGGGAUAAGCCUGGGAAACCGGGUCAAUACCGGAUACGACCAUCCCUCGCAUGAGGGUUGGUGGAAAGUUUUUCGAUCGGGGAUGGGCUAGCGGCCUAUCAGCUUGUUGGUGGGGUAAUGGCCUACCAAGGCGACGACGGGUAGCCGGCCUGAGAGGGCGACCGGCCACACUGGGACUGAGACACGGCCCAGACUCCUACGGGAGGCAGCAGUGGGGAAUAUUGCACAAUGGGGGAGACCCUGAUGCAGCGACGCAGCGUGCGGGAUGACGGCCUUCGGGUUGUAAACCGCUUUCAGCAGGGAAGAAGCGAAAGUGACGGUACCUGCAGAAGAAGUACCGGCUAACUACGUGCCAGCCGCCGCGGUAA
This 484-nucleotide ribosomal RNA is filed under the name uncultured bacterium. Its description in RNAcentral is "partial 16S ribosomal RNA". It matches the Rfam family "Bacterial small subunit ribosomal RNA", at positions 28 to 523 of the family's 1533-position model. The record is from RNAcentral.